GCUGCCUGGAACAGAAGAGCAGAGGAUCAGAGGCACCACCAGAGACUCUCAGAGUGGGUUAUUACCCUGGUGGGGGCGCCUGCUGCGGCGUAGGAGAUGGCGGGACUGGGGGCGCGGGUGUGAAGCCCCCAAGAAAUCUGUGUGAAUUUCCUGGGGAGGUAAGGUCUCCAGGCGCUCUCUCUGGGCCCGGGGAUUGGUCCGGGAAGGUCUCCUGGCGCCUACCCAGCCCCCACUGCCUGGACGCCUGCGCCUGCUCUGCCGCCCCACAGCGACCGCGAAGGCCAGCUUCUUCGAAAGGCCCAUUUUUCUCCGUGGCUGAGCGAAUGCUCCUAGAAUACCACGUUUAUAAUAAAUCAUGUAGGGUGGAAUUCCUGCUGGAUGUAUACACCUUUCUGCAUCAGAGCUCUUCAAACCCAGAAUGGUGAAUAGCUACCCCUGGGCUUACCCUUUUAUAAUUUUCAACAAACCUGCGUUUAGCCCCGGCUAGGUGCCAGCAAGUUGCUAGGGACUGAGGAGGCUCUGCAGAGGACCCGAGCUGAGGCCCUAAUCCUCAAGGCCAAUGGCAGGGGUCACCGCCCAGGCACCCCCAGAGAACGCGGUGUGAAGGAAAAGACACCAAACUCGGUGUUCAAAUGUGUGGGAUCUAUUCUAGUUCUGAUUCUGACACUUGCAAGUCAUGCAUCCUCCGAGCCUCGGCUUUCUCACCUAUAAAAUCUUCAACGUGACCUAUAAAAAUCCAUAAAAUCACCCCUGCUUCAUUGUUUCCCAGGGCUCAUAGAAACAUCAUACAAGGUAAGGGAAGGUGAGUGCACUGUAAAAAAUGGUGACGUGCUAUAUAGCUCUGAGUAGUAUGGUAUAUAAGCUUCCUUUUUAAAAAUUUUAAUUUUAGGGCCAGUGUUGGGAUUACGGGUGUGAGUUACCGCACCCGGCCUCUUUUGUUGUUUUCUAAUAAGUAUAUAUGACUAUCAUUUCCCUCAAAAGUCUGCUUUAGCUGAAUAUCACAAGUUUUAAUAUGCUAUGCUUUUGUUAUCACUUAGUUAUACAUAUUUGGAUUUUGUUGUUGUUGUUGUUACAGAGUCUCGCUCUGUCGUCCAGGCUGGACUGCAGUGGCAAGAUCUCAGCUCACUGCAACCUCCACUUCCCGGGUUCAAGAGAUUUUCCUGCCUCAACCUCCUGAGUAGCUGGGAUUACAGGUGCACGCCACCACACCCGGCUAAUUUUUUAAUUUUUAGUAGAGAUGGGGUUUUACCAUUUUGGCCAGGCUGGUCUCCAACUCCUGACCUCAAGUGAUCCACCGGCCUCAGCCUCCCAAAGUGUCGGGAUUACAGGCGUCAGCCACUGUGCCUGGCCAAUAUUUUGUUUUUUAUGUUAGGAUUGUAUGCUUAAUUCAUGGAUUAUUUAGACGUAUAUUUUCCAUUCUUUUUUUGUUUUC
This 1432-nucleotide long non-coding RNA is filed under the name Homo sapiens (human). RNAcentral's name for it is "HSALNT0358827". Lineage: Eukaryota; Metazoa; Chordata; Mammalia; Primates; Hominidae. The record is from RNAcentral.